GGAAUAUAAGAACCCGUUUCUUAACUUUUAACUAAAAAAGUUAAGAAUCGGCUCUUAAAACUCUUAUCUAAGAGUCAGUUUUUAGCUUUUUUAGUUAAAAGUUAAGAGACAAAUUUUUAUAUUAC
Non-coding RNA from Brassica napus (rape), 125 nucleotides. The record is from Rfam. Lineage: Eukaryota; Viridiplantae; Streptophyta; Magnoliopsida; Brassicales; Brassicaceae.